CUGACUCUCGGUGGAAUCCGUGCUUGAAGCUGUGGAGACGAAGGCCAGCGCCUGGCCGGGCCCCGGGGGAGGCGCGCUGUCCCCGAGGUUAGAAUUUACUAGAAAUGUCAUCCAGAGCUAAAGAACCUGAUGCAGCGGCCGGGCUGCCCUCCCUGGGACCCUAAAGGACAAAGCGGCCUGUGGCACAGCCCAAGUCUCCCCACCAGUGGAUGAUAAAGAAAAGGCAUGGUGCCAGGAUCACGCUGCUCUGUAACGUGAGCGUUGGCCUCUCCAGAUGCUGCCACCAGGGGCCACGGGUGGAGGGAGAGGCCCGCACAUCCUGAGAGCACCGGCUGGGUCAGGCCUGCAGGAUCCCGACGGGCACGCGGCUCUUGCUGCUGCCCCGGGCCCAGGGCUCUCCUGUGGCGGUGGCGACACAGCCCGGCCACCACAGUUGGAGCUGUUGACCAUGACAUGGAGGGCAUCACGAGCCUGCCCGGCCUUCCGCACCAUGCUCGCCCCCCAGCAGAACUGCCCAGCUGCAUGGCUGCCGGCUUGAGGCACUCGUCAGAGAGACUGACAAUGCGCCCAGACUCAGUUGCACUUGGCAGAAGUCUGCCUGUGUUUGGAAAAGAGGUUGAAGAGCCUGUUUCCUCUGGGAUCCUGGACAUGUCUGCACGGCAGAGCCUGCACUGGUGGGAACAGCGCUCACGAACACCAGUGCUGGGACCAGGUGCCUAGGUUCUGGUCCCUGCUUGGACCCACUCGGCUGUGACAGCAGGUAAGUCACUUAACCUGUCCGUGUGCUGCUGCACGUGACGCUGUGAUAACAAAGUCGGCCUCGGUGUGACAGGAAGGUCAGAUGACAUAUGUGAAUGGCACAGCACCUGGCACAUAGCUGUAACCAUCUCACCCUUACAGAUAUGGCUUGGGGCCCCUUCCACAGGCUACAGCUUGUUAAAGAAAAAUAAAUGGGCUGUUUGAGAGCUAAGUUUAAAUGACAGUUCCACUUAGAUCACUAGUGACUUGGAAAAAACAAACUUCAGUUUCUUGAGGCAUGCGACUCAGGGCCUGGUUGCCCCAAGUGGUCUCCCACGCCCAGAAGUGGGGGUGCAGCCUGCACGGCAGUCUCCCUGCUCCCCACAGAUGGUGGCUGUGAUCUCGUCAAGGGACUCAUCUUCCUCCUUAAAAACCAUGCCCGGCACUCACGUAAGGGUCUCAGUGUACACAUUUCAUGUCAGGCGUGGGUUGCGUCCCAUUUCUGCCCAGAGCGCGUGACCUGAUCUAAUCUCAGAGAACAUGCCGUUGUCAGGAGGGCACCACACAGGACCCAGGCCAUGGACUCGGCUGUUCACAAGAACUUGCUGUGGAGAUGAGGGUGAACACAGAGAGGACACGUGUGUGCACAUGCGUCAGACACGAAGGAGGGAAGCCAAGCUCGGGGGUGAGGACAACCAGAGGAUGUGACAUGUUCUGAAGGCCCUGCUCUCGGUCACGGUCCUGGGGUGGCUGGCCAGGCUGAGCGGCUGGGGUGCGGUUUACCCCGGGGACAGGAAGGCACGAGCUGCUGCCCGGCAGUGGGCGUCUGGGUCCCCGGGGCGGCACGGACGCUGGUGCCGCUCAGCAGGCUCUUAUCUGGCAGCUUGGCUGCCUUCCCAGCGGCCAAGGGGCCAGCCGCCAAGCAGGCGGCAUUCCCGCAUGGUGACCGCAGGCCUAAACCCGGCGGCUGUCAGCACACGGGGGUGCCUGACGCUUCACCGGCCAUAGCUGCCUCGGACCUCAAGUUUGCAGGGACAUAAUAAAAACACAGGUUUUUACGAGAAGGUAACUUGUAGGAGAGCUGAGCUACCUAUUUAAACACCUCCUGUUUCUCUGAAACUCAUGUGAAAACUUUUUGAUCCUAAGAUCAAUCGCUACUUAAACACUUCAAGAAGCUUUGUGCCCUCGACCCCAGCUCCUGCCAAAUCCAACCAGUUUUAUAGAAUUUUCUUAGGAUGCACUCAGGAGAAGCAACUAUCCAAGCUGAUGCUAGUUUGGUAGAAGCCAUUUUAACCCUAAUUCAUAUGAAUUUAGAAGUAAUCCCCAAACAAUCUUACUCAAUGGGUCCAAAGGUCCAACCAGCUUAUUAUUUUAUAUUCUUUUAAAAAUAAAUUCAGAAGAACGCUUAGCAUCCACAGGGGGAACUUGACUCCUCACCCAAACUGCUCCAAAGCGGGAGGUUCCGCUGGCUUUCGCCCUGGAGACAGCGGCGCGGCCUCGGGGCGCCUGUGAACACCAGCGGGGGCUGGCAGCGCGGUCGCCUGCAGGGCGGCUGGCGGGGGGCACCGGUGGGUAUUAAACGGCCACUUUGG
This is a long non-coding RNA of Manis pentadactyla (Chinese pangolin), 2330 nucleotides long. RefSeq lists it as uncharacterized. NCBI's taxonomy places the organism in Eukaryota, Metazoa, Chordata, Mammalia, Pholidota, Manidae. The transcript is spliced from 3 exons. The record is from RefSeq and is a predicted model, not a curated record.